Molecule: ribosomal RNA, 481 nt
Filed under: uncultured soil bacterium
Lineage: Bacteria
Description: bacterial SSU rRNA
Rfam family: Bacterial small subunit ribosomal RNA
Source: RNAcentral
AGCCUGAACGCUGGCGGCGUGGCUAAGACAUGCAAGUCGCACGGGGUAGCAAUACCCAGUGGCGAACGGGAGAGUAAUGAAUCGCUAAUGUACCCCGGACUCUGAGAUAGCUGCCCGAAAGGGCAGGUAAUAUCAGAUGACAUAACCGCACGGCAUCGUGUGGUUCUCAAAGGUCCGCCGGUCUGGGAGCAGGCGAUUUCGUAUCAGCUAGUUGGUGAGGUAACGGCUCACCAAGGCGACGACGCGUAGCCGGACUGAGAGGUUGAACCGGCCUCAUUGGGACUGAGACACUGCCCAGACUCCGUACGGGGGGCUGCAGUAACGAAUCUUCCGCAAUGCACGAAAGUGUGACGGAGCGACGCCGCGUGUGGACGAAGCCCGUUCGGGGUCGUAAACCGACGUCGUCGAGGGGUUACCAAGUUCCGUAGGACGGACGCCCCGAGGACGGAAGGCGACGGCUAACUCUGUCGCCAGCGAGCCG